GAUGAACGCUAGCUACAGGCUUAACACAUGCAAGUCGAGGGACCGGCGCUCGGGUGAGUAACACGUAUCCAACCUUCCCUUUACUCGGGGAUAGCCUUUCGAAAGAAAGAUUAAUACCCGAUAUUAAGGAUGGGGAUGCGUUCGAUUAGGUUGUGGGUGAGGUAACGGCACACCAAGCCUUCGAUGGAUAGGGGUGCUGAGAGGAAGGUACCACAGAUUGGAGCUGAGACACGGACUACAAUCGUACGCGAGGGAGGGGAAAGGAAUAUUAGUGAAUGAGGGGUAGCCUGAACCAGCCAAGUGGGGGAAAGAAUGAAGGCUUAGGGAACGUAAACUUCUUUUAUAUAAGAAUAGGUAUUAAAUGAAUAAGGAUCGGCUAACUACGUGCCAGCAGCCGCGGUAAUAC
Molecule: ribosomal RNA, 406 nt
Filed under: uncultured bacterium
Lineage: Bacteria
Description: partial 16S ribosomal RNA
Rfam family: Bacterial small subunit ribosomal RNA
Source: RNAcentral